This is a long non-coding RNA of Sapajus apella (tufted capuchin), 430 nucleotides long. RefSeq lists it as uncharacterized. Lineage: Eukaryota; Metazoa; Chordata; Mammalia; Primates; Cebidae. The record is from RefSeq and is a predicted model, not a curated record. The transcript has 2 exons.
AAAGAAAAGUACUUUAUGUCUUACAGUUAUGAAGGCUGAGAAGUCCAGGAUUGAGGGGCCACAUUGGUGAGGGGAUUCUUGCUGGUGAGGACUCUCUGCAGAGACCUAAGGCUGCACCGGCAAUCACAUGCUCAACAAUAACUUUUCUGCGAAGCUCUUGACCCUUCCACAUCUGGCAUGGAAAUAUUCCAAGUUAUCUGUGUUGGCAGAUGGAGCUGUGCUGAACAGAAGCUUUACCCUGGAUUCAGUCUUCUGUCCCAGCACGAGCACCUGACUCAACUUUGGAAGUGUGGAGAAGGUUAUGGAACUUCAUCUCGCCCUAGUUCACCUUCCCCCACUUCCAGUCCUACCCACUUAUACUUCGUCCUGGUCCAAGUGGAUUAUCCCCCUAAUUUUUCCCCUUAAAGAUAUCAAUAGAAGAUUGAUUAUC